CCUACGGGAGGCAGCAGUGAGGAAUAUUGCUCAAUGGACGAGAGUCUGAACCAGCCAAGUAGCGUGAAGGAUGACUGCCCUAUGUGUUGUAAACUUCUUUUAUAAAGGAAUAAAACGAGGCACGUGUGCCUUUUUGCAUGUACUUUAUGAAUAAGGAUCGGCUAACUCCGUGCCAGCAGCCGCGGUAAUACGGAGGAUCAGAGCGUUAUCCGGAUUUAUUGGGUUUAAAGGGUCCGCAGGCGGAUUGUUAAGUCAGCGGUAAAAUCGUGGGGCUAAACCCCGUCCAGCCGUUGAAACUGGGGAUCUAGAGUGUGUGAGAGGUAUGCGGAAUGCGUGGUGUAGCGGUGAAAUGCAUAGAUAUCACGCAGAACCCCGAUUGCGAAGGCAGCAUACCGGUGCACAACUGACGCUCAGGCACGAAAGCGUGGGUAGCGAACAGGAUUAGAUACCCUUGUAGUC
This 459-nucleotide ribosomal RNA is filed under the name uncultured bacterium. Its description in RNAcentral is "partial 16S ribosomal RNA". It matches the Rfam family "Bacterial small subunit ribosomal RNA", at positions 338 to 795 of the family's 1533-position model. The record is from RNAcentral.